Molecule: ribosomal RNA, 492 nt
Filed under: uncultured bacterium
Lineage: Bacteria
Description: partial 16S ribosomal RNA
Rfam family: Bacterial small subunit ribosomal RNA
Source: RNAcentral
AUUGAACGCUGGCGGCAUGCUUUACACAUGCAAGUCGAACGGUAACAGGCCUUCGGGUGCUGACGAGUGGCGAACGGGUGAGUAAUGCAUCGGAACGUACCCAGAGGUGGGGGAUAACGCAGCGAAAGCUGUGCUAAUACCGCAUGUGAUCUGAGGAUGAAAGCGGGGGACCGAGCAGCAAUGUUUGGCCUCGCGCCUUUGGAGCGGCCGAUGUCGGAUUAGCUAGUUGGUGGGGUAAAGGCCUACCAAGGCGACGAUCCGUAGCUGGUCUGAGUGGACGGCCGGCCACACUGGGACUGAGACACGGCCAAGGCUCCUACGGGAGGGAGCAGUGGGGAAUUUUGGACAAUGGGCGCAAGCCUGAUCCAGCAAUGCCGCGUGCGGGAAGAAGGCCUUCGGGUUGUAAACCGCUUUUGGCAGGAACGAAACGGUGUCCGCUAAUACCGGGCGCUAAUGACGGUACCUGCAGAAUAAGCACCGGCUAACUACGUG